AUAGGUCUGCGGUGUUCGUGGUAUGGAGAAUUCGUAAUCCACAAAGUAAAAAAGGGAGCUGCCGUCCGCGGGAAUAGUUAAGGUCUGUAUUUUUUUUACGGAAAGAGCGAUUUCCCGAGGCGUGGCACCCACCUGCGAGAAAGCGGGUUAACACUUUUUCAUAUCACGGCACAGGCGGAUUUUUU
This 185-nucleotide non-coding RNA is filed under the name Clostridia bacterium. RNAcentral describes it as "6S RNA". It matches the Rfam family "6S / SsrS RNA". Rfam says of the family: E. coli 6S RNA was the first non coding RNA to be sequenced, but its function was unknown until recently. It consists of 184 nucleotides that fold into an extended hairpin structure with a large single-stranded internal bulge. The record is from RNAcentral. Lineage: Bacteria; Bacillati; Bacillota; Clostridia.